This 18685-nucleotide long non-coding RNA is filed under the name Populus trichocarpa (black cottonwood). Its description in RNAcentral is "long non-coding RNA (PTRI_LNC001191)". The stretch from base 12448 to 12603 matches the Rfam family "MIR2912 microRNA precursor family". The record is from RNAcentral. Lineage: Eukaryota; Viridiplantae; Streptophyta; Magnoliopsida; Malpighiales; Salicaceae.
UUUGUUCGGGGUUCUAUAAAAGGCAUGUUAAGAAGGUGUUCGAUUUCCGAACUUGUUCUGUUCUCUCUUUAUAUCCAUCUCUCCUUUGUUUAGGUGUCAUGGCAUCAACCAAGCCAGUAAACGUUCUCGAGGUUUGCCAUGUUAGUCCGUCUUCUACCUCACCCGAGUCAAGCACCGAGCUAUAUCUGCCUCUAAUCUUCUCUGAUAUCUUCAACCUCAAAUUCCCUCCGGUUCAAGGCAUCUUUUUCUAUAAACUCACUGAGUUAACCCCUACUUUCUUUAACUUGGUAAUUCUUCCCAAGGUCAAGCACUCACUCUCUUUAACUCUUUCCCACUUCCGUCCUCUUGCCGGUAACCUCACAUGGCCUCCAAAUUCCAUCAAACCCGUCAUUACGUACAAUACUCCAGAUGAUGGUAUUAAACUUACAGUUGCCGAGUCCAGUGCAGACUUUGACCAUCUCUGUAGUGAAGUGCAUGAUGCUAUUGAGUCACAUCAUUAUGUGCCAAAUGUAUCAAUAUCUGAUACUAUAGCCUCUACACUUGCUAUUCAGAUCACUUUAUUUCCAAAUAAAGGUUUUUGCAUCGGCCACACCACUAACCAUGCUGUUCUUGAUGGCUUGAGCGUAUCCUUUUUCAUGAAUGCAUGGGCUCGCAUUUGCAGACAGUUAGUCGAUGAAAAAAUGGAAAUCCCUAGCUUGUUACCGGAAGAACUAACCCCGUUUUUCAAUCGAACAGUUGUUCAGGAUCCUGAAGGGCUAGACAUGUGGUACUUGAAUUUCUGGCUGGGAGUAAAACUUCCAGGUUCCGAUGACAAUACUAGAAGUUUGAAGCCUUUUCCAUUUCCAGAAACUCCACCAAACCUGGUAAGAACAACGUUCGAACUCUCUCGUGAAGAUAUACAGCAGCUUCGGGAAACGGUAAAGUCUCAACUGGAUAAUUUUGGAUCCAAAGAGGAAACAAAUCAAACAAAGCCAAUAUAUUUGUCGACUUAUGUGCUUGUAUAUGCAUAUACGUUGGUUUGCAUGCUUGAAGCAAAAGGAUUAAAUAGCAAUGAUAAGAUUAAAAUCUUGAUUACCGUAGACUGUAGACCCCGUUUAAACCCUCCAUUACCUAAGAAUUAUAUUGGUAAUUGUGUUAGCUCCUUUGAUGUGGUUGUGGAAGGAGAAGAUCUAAUGAAAGAGAAUGGGGUUGCGUAUGUUGCGAAGAGGCUUACUGAGAUGAUAAAAGGAUUAGAGAAUAGAUCAGUUUUUGAGGGAGCAAAGGAGAGGUUACCAUACAAUGACUGGGAACCAGAUAUUCGACAGGUACGAGCUGCUGGGACAAACCGAUUUGGGAUGUAUGGAGCAGAUUUUGGAUGGGGGAAGCCAAGCAAUGUGGAGGUUACGACCAUAGAUAGAUUGGAUGCCUUUUCUAUUAUGGAGAGCAAAGACGAAAGUGGUGGAGUUGAAGUUGGUUUAGUCUUGAAGGACCAUGAAAUGAAACUAUUCGGUUCUCUAUUUGCCAGUGGCCUUCGAAUGUAAACUGUAUUCUUGUGCCUCUCUAGGACAUGCCUCUACCUGUUUUUUUUUUUUUUUUAAUGUAUGCUGUGCUUUAAUUACUUGGAGUUUUGGAGUUAUUUAUGUAAUGCUAUUUGCUUGUGCUUGUGAAAUUUUGAUUAUCUUUUGCUAAAGCUACGUUUAUAAUAACUUUUUAUAAAUUCUCUCACAGUAGAUUUUUUCCAUAAAUUCUACCAAAAGUUUAUAUAUAUAUAUACACACACGCACACACACCCACAUGGAAAUGGUUAAUAAAACGUGUAUAUCUGAAAUUAUUAUCACUUAUUAUUUCCAUACAAUGUUUUUAAAGACAAAAGUUAGCAAAACAAGAGCUUCAAAAAUUUAAACAAUAUCAGUUAAAGUUGAAAUGAGAAAGCAAAGUUGAGGAGACAAAUAAAACUAAAACAUAUGAGGUCAUGAGUUUAAAGAGUGAAAAUAAAGUGAGCCUUAAUUAAGGAAAAAAUAAUUGAGGAGAGAAAAGACUCAGAUUCCACUAAGGGAGAAAAAAAUCAAUUAAAGUCGGGAUUGAAGAGAAGAAAAUACGAAUGAGAAAAGAAGAGAGUGUAGAAAAUAUAGGUAAACAUUUAAGUUUCUAUACAAAAGAGAGAGAGAUCAAGAGUGCUUAUUUUUAUGACAUGCCUACUAUUUUACUUGUGUAUAAGAAGACAUAUUUUAACACUAACAAUCUUGAUUCUUUUAUUCCUAGUAUUGUUAUAUCUUUGUUUUAGGAUUUGGAGAAUGAUACAGGACAAUCAAAUUUCAAUUUGAGCUUAAUUUGUCCUAUUACACAUAUUUACAUCAACAAGCAUAUUUUUCGAUCCAAUCAUUGGAUAAAGCUGAAAUGUUUCCAGAAGUUUUCAAAGAUCUUUUUUUUAUCUUGAGUUAAAAUUCCAGGAUGAUCGGAGUUUGGUAAGGCUUUAUGAUAAAUAGUCGAAGUUGUUGCCCAGAUCUUGCUACGUAUUUCCUGAUAAGAUCCACAAUGGUUUGCUAUUGAUAAAGGUGCAAUAAAAAACAAUAUGAUAAAGUAUAGAAUCUUAUCUUUAGACUUGAUGAUAUUCUUAAUGAGUUGCAUGGAUCUUGUAUGUUUAGUAAGAUUGAUUUGAAAAUUGGUUAUUAUCAAAUUAAGAUGAAAGAAGGAGAUAAAUGAAAAAAUUAAUGUAAGACUAAAUAUGGAUUGUUUGAAUGAUUAGUCAUGUUGUUUAGUUUACUACUAUUGCACAUAGUAAGUUAAUGAGAUUGAUGAAUCAUAUAUUAACUGCAUUAAUAGGUAGCUUCAUUGUUGAUUACUUUGAUGAUAUUCAUAGUAAAAAUUUAGGUGAGUAUAUUGAGUAUUUAUGAUUUUUGUUUAAUAUGUUACAAAAGAAAUUGUUAUGUGCUAACUAUUAAAUUGGAAAAAAAAUAUUCACCAUUUAAAAUAGUUUAUAGUUUAACCAUACUAAAUUUGACUUCUUUACUUGUUGAUGAAAAGGUUAGACUUGAUGGCAAUAGAAAAACAUAGGUGAUGAAAGCAUUGUUUAAGAAGGUACAACAACAUUUUGAGAAAAAAAAAAAGAGAAGUCAUUUCAAGCAAACAAAAGAUGAAAAAGGAUUGUCUUUGAAUCAGGAGAUUAGGUUUGAGUGCAUAUGCGCAAAGCUUGGACAUAGGAAAUCAGAGUUGGUGCUUAAAGAAGAUGAUUCAUUCAAAUUCCUUGAAGGAUUCAAUGCCUCCAAAAUGAAUCUACAAAGUGAGUAUAAUGUUAGUGCUAUAUUCAAAGCUUAUGAUCUUUCUUUAUUUGAUGUGGGUGAUUAUUCGAGGUCGAACCCUUUUGAGGAGAGAGAGGAUGGUGUGAUCCUGGCAACAAAAUCAAAGGAUCCAUUAAGAGUGUUCAUUGGGUCUAUUUUAAGGCCUAAAACAAAGUGGAUCUAAGAGGAGUUCAAUCGGCUAAGUCAGACAUGGGGUAAAAAGGUUUAAAUCUGUCAGUCUGGACCUUUGUCUACUUUUCAAGUCAUAUCUAAAGCUACAAGAGGAUUUUGGAUGUGAUUCUAAUUGGGUUGAAAACUAAGCAUCUAUACUUUUUCAAUAAUAUAUGGUAGGCCCACUAAUUCAUCUAGACAAGAGAGAAUGACGUAUUUGAAGUUGAGCCUUACAAAGAUUUCAUAUCAAACAACAAGAAUUAAUUUGUUAUGAAUUAAUUCUUAAUGUACAGGGCAUCAGGCUUUUGUUCAACAAGGAUUCUUCAACAAUUAUUUCUAUUUGGUGUUUUUCACUAUCAUUUGCGGAAAAGUGUGAAAAAUAAUCUUGGACUAUUGUUUUAUUUAUUAUUAUUAUUUUAAACUUUAUUUUAAUUAGUUUGGGUUUUAUUUAAAUUGGAUACAUGUCUGACCGAUUAGUUUUAGGAUUUACAUAUAAAUACUCUUAUGUAAGGAUUUUCUCUUUGUGUGGUUGAGUGAUUCUCAUACUAAGUUCUUGAUUGAACUUGCAAACUUCUCGAAAGAUUUAUCAACUUCGUUAUGAUUUAUACUUCUCGUUGUAGUCGUAGGGUGAAAGUGAUCAAUUGCAUAUAAUUUUGGUUCUUCAAGGCAAGAUUCUUGUUGAGUCAAGUUGCAAACUUUUCUUCAAAACUCAAAUUAGUAAUUUAAGAGACAAUUUCACAUCAAUCCUUGAUUUAUUUCUUUUUAUGUGAGAUCCUUGGUUAUUGUUUCACGUUCUUUUUUUAUCAAUGUAGUUGAAAACAUUUAUAAAAUUUUGUUAUUGUUGUUUUUGUCAAUGCUACUAAUAAUAAAAAAGAGUCUUUUAAAGUAAAACAUUCAUAAUUUAUGUUUAUGCCUAUAUUUUUUUAUUUCUAUUUAUAUCACAUAUAACAUAAAUAAAAAUAAUAAAAUUAUAUCAAAAUUCAAAAAAUUAUUAAAUUGCAAUUUUAUAUGGACCUUAGUUAUUUUCUUAUGUUAUCUUUGACUCUUUAAGAAGAAUUUAUACCUUUUAACAAAUUCUACUCGUAUUGAAAAAGACUCCUCAGUCAAAAGGUAUAAUAAAACUAUUAUUUAUGUCUAUGUCUUUAAUAUUUGUAUCACGUAUAUUAAAAACAAACUUUAAAUAAGAAAAAAAAUAUAAAAAUUAUAAUGCUAAUAUAAUUAUGUUAAAAUUUAAUAGAAUCUUAAAUAAAAUUUUUAUUCUCAUUUAAAUCGAAUGCAAUUGUUUUAUAUAUAUAGAUGGUUUUAUUCAAAUUUGAUUCCUACUAUGCAUAGUAUUUAUUGAUUUAUUUUUCAUUCUUUUAAAAUUAAUUUUAAUAUUUUUAUAAGAUUUUUAUUAAUACACAUGCAACAUAUAUGCCAAAAUAUUAAUAUACUUUAAGUUAAUUUGAACUUCAAAUGAUUAGUUGAUUGGUGCAUGAAUAAGUGAGCUUCUUAUAAAAGAAAAAAACUUGGGCUUCAACAACUGGAAGGAAUCAAAUUUAUAUCUUAUUGUAAUAUUUAUAUCUUACAUAAUAGCACAAUUAAAAUGAACUCACACACUUCACUCUAUAUGCAUUAAAGGAUUGCUAAUAAUCACGUUAGAUAGUUAUAAGAAUUCACUUAGGUUAAAUUGUUAAUUCUAGAAUCCUACAUGAAUCGGUCGACUGUUUAGGGUUGCCAAAUGAACCGAUCGAUUGCUUGUUCAUCAAUGAUGAACACUUUGAAAUUUUGUAAGAAUUGAUCAAUCAAUUGGCUUGACCAAUCUAAACCGGUCAACCAUUUUAGCUGUUAGAAGAACAAUAACGGCUAUAAACAACUAUUUUUCUUAGAAACAUAUAUAUAGCAUGUCUAAUUGCAAAAUUAGAAAGAGGAUCUGAAUAUAUAUAAUGUACAAGCUAUAAAAACCAAAAUAAUUAAAUACUAUAGGCCGACCUAUUCUAGGCAGGAAUUAUGAGGGGGAAAUUUGCCCUGAGUUAACCAAAGAGGGGAAUAAGAAUAAGGAUAACCAACACCCAAACACUUCCAUCCCAUUUAAGAGGGGUAUAAAUGAAAGGGGAGGAAAAAGAGAUGAUUUUUUCUCUUCCCCAAACAAGCAACAACCCUAACUACAGCAGCCUUCCCUCUUGCAAAGAGAACCCACCCAAAUCAACUUACAUGCCAUCUUUCUUGAAUGAUUGAGUGAAUGAAAAGUUAGAGAAAGGAAGGGAGACUGAAAAUAUGAAAGAAGGAAGAACCUAGAAGGUCGGCUAGAACAAUAGAAGAAGGAGAGAAAAACUAAGAGGAAAAGAAGAAGAAAACCAUCAAAACCUUCCCAAAAUUUGUUUAAAGUUGUUUCUAUAUCACUCAUUGUUUAUUGCUUCAUGAUUUCAGAACAAGGGAGAGGGAGAAAACUCAAAAUGAAAGAUUUAGGGUUCUUACACUUGUUAAUUAAAAAAAUAAACAAUUAAAUGAUAAGAUUGAAGAAGAAUUGGUAAUGAAAGGACACAAGUGCAUAAUUUUUACUAAAACAUUGAUGAACAUGGAUGAUUAUGGAUGAAUAAACCCUAAAUAAGGGCCGGCCAAAUUGAAAGGAUGAAAAGAAAGUGAAUUGAAGUGAUGGAAUGUGUAGAUUGUUAUCUUGUUAAGCCUUUAGAGAUAUGUUUGAGCUGAAACAGAGAUUAUGCUAUGUUAAUGCUUUGAUUUUGUUUAUGUGAUUGAUGACCUUGCAUGAUUAUGAACCAAGUGAAUGAAUGUGUGAUUAUAACAUGUUUUUGUGAGCAUACUUGUGAUAGAAAUGAUGAAUUGCAUGUGUAAAUUAGAAAGAAAAUGGACAACAAUGUCCGACCAAAAAAGGGAAAACCAUGAUGGAGACCUUGCAUGAUGAACACUCUUAGGGAAUCAAGAUAUGGAAUGAAAAUAAGACUUUUGCAUAAUGAAUAAUUCCUAUUAGAAUGUGUUUGAUAAGUUGGAAUGAUACAAUUAUGAACAAUAGUGAGAAUAGAUGUUGACAACACUAGGCUCGGCCAUGGACCAAUAGGUGAGAGAAUCCUUGGAAAAAUAUACAUAUGUUGGAUUAAUCUUGCAUUGUGUGACAACCUUAUGAUAAACUUGAUGAAUUAUGGAUAGUGUGUAUUCCUUACUCUCGUUCAUGUCUAUUUGGUAUUGGUUUGAGUUCUGCAAGAACCGCAAGAAGGUGAGAUGAGAGGUGUGUGCAUGUGAGGAUAUUAAGAGUUUUUGAGCGAAACACGAGGGAUGUGAGGAUUUUUUUUACCACUAACCAAUUUUUGCAGGUACUGUCAUGUCAGCGCAAAACAACACACCACCCCCUCCCAAUGUAGAACUUAAAUUCCAAAUGCAUGCCAUGACAAAGAUGAUGGAAAGAAUGAAUUUUAUGAUGGGGAACAUGUGUGACAGACUUGCAAAGAUGGGAAAACAUGGUAACGUGGCUGGAACAUGUACCCAAGAUGUGAGAAAAUUUGGGGCUCAACACAGAUCUAACAAUGGCAGUGGGGCUGAAAGGCCAAGGUGGGCUGAUUAUGAGGAUUUUGAAGAGGACAUUGAUGAUAUUGGUGAUGGCGGUUUUAAGGAUGAAAUCAUAGGCCACCAGGAAGGUUUUCGACAGCCUAGAAACUAAAGGGAUUUCAUGUAUUCUGAUGAGGUGUUAUGGCAAAAGAAAAGGAGGAUUCAAAAAGAGAAGUGGUAUCAAAUGUUGAGAAAUAAAGAGAUUAGUGUUUUAAAAAAAAAGAAUCCAAGAGUCUAUCCUGUAUUCUAGGGGAGAUGAAGCAAGAACUUGAUGUGUUAACGGCAUCAGUCAAUGCCCAACAAGCUUCAGAAAGAGAGGAGAAAAUACGCUGCAAUGAUGAUAUACGAAAUAGAACGGCUGCUACUUUCAUCCAAAGUUGUUGGCGACGAUUGCUGGUAAGAAAAGAACUCCAAAGGCUUCAAAAGGAGGCUAAGGAAUUGUCCAUUCAACUUAUUGGUGAUUUGAGGACGAAUCAUCUUGAAGAGAGAGGGAAUGAUACAAUCUAGGAAAGGUCAAAUUCGGAUUUUGAUGUAAAAUAUGCAAUUAUCCAGUUUUAUGACAACAAUUAUAAUUCUCAAUCCGACCAUUGGAUCGGACUGAAAUUUUACAUAGAGUCUCUUGACAUGUUUUCCUACCUUGGGUUAAAAUAUCAGGUCAAUUAGAGUUUGGAAAGGCAUCGAAACACGGGUCAACAUAGGCUGUAUUUUGUUAUUUACUUCCUUUUGACUUGUGGACUUCCUAUUUGGCUAGGAUUCUUUUCCUAAAAUGAUGUGGCGGCUUAUUUUAGGAAUCUUCUAUUUCUACAAAGAUCUUUAAUGGGCUGCAACAUAGUUUCCAAGUGUGGCAAUGAUUCAUAAAUGUUUUAUAAUCCUUUUCUUACAAGGAUUCCUUAUUCAUCCUAGCUACAAAAAAAGGAAAGAAGAUUUCAGAAUUAAUUCUACCUUCAGAUUUCAUUCUCCUAGCUUAUAUGGGACUUCUAAAGGGCAACAAAUCUAAUCCUAUUAUAUUUAGGAUAUUAAAUUCGGAUUUAUUAUUGUUAUUAUUAUUUUCUUCUUAGUUUAGGGUUUAUUUAUAUUAUUUGGGUUUAAUUGUAAAUGGGCAUCAUAUAAGUCCACAUAAGGGGUCCAUUAGGGUUUACUUUAGUUUGGAGUCACUAUAAAUAAGGGCAUAACUAGACAUGUAAGGGCAGACAAUUCAGAUUAAUAAAACUUCUUGUUUACCGCACUCUGUGUGUGUGUGUGUUGGUGAGAUAAUCUCCCUUCCAUAGUUCUCUAAAGAACUGAAAAAUGACUUAUCAAAGAACAACUGUCUUCGUGGCGUCAUCCUUAUACUUCUCAUUCACGAAUCAAUAUUCGUUGGGUGGGGGGUCUCCGUUUCCAAUAGUGCUGGUGCCUAGGUACAAGUUAUCUUUGUGUCACACUCCUAUCAAACCUGAUUUACUUGGAUUUUCGGGAAUUAGUGUCUUUGCGUGUGGGUUGCGUGACCAUGUGAUCACGAGGUUCGCAUCAUAGGUUGUACAGAAUAAACUAGAAUGCCUAGGAUGUAUUUUACCAUGCUACGAUGAAUGAGAAGUGAUGUUAACAUUGAGGAGAAUCGUAGUAUGUCAAAAAAAGAAGUGACAAGGCUACAACUAUUAUAGAAAGGAAUGUCGAUCAAUAAGUUAUCUCUAGUAAUAUGGUUCAGUACAAACUAUCUUCAUGAAAUAGGGACACCCCCUUAUCACCUUUACUUUGUAAAUUUGAAUAUGAUUUGAUUAUGGUCUAUGCUUGAACUAGGUUGAAGCGGCAAAAGGAAAAAACUUGACACGGGUCCUAGGUGUAACCUAGGAAAAAGUAGCAUUAGAAGUGACUUAGUUUUCGCUGAUGAUUUUCUAAGUCAAAAGUGACUUAGUUUUCGCUGAUGAUUUUCUGUGUCAAAACUAACAUAGUUUAAGCUGACGAUUUUCUGUGUUGGAAGUGACUUAGAUUUUGUUGACGAUUCCAAUGUCAGUUGGCCUAACCCCAUCAUGGAACACUAGAAUUAAAUCAUAGGAUUUAUGUGGGUAACCUACAUUUAGAAUUAAAAAGAAUGUCUGGAUAUAAUGACUUUCAUUAUAUGAUUAUAUCAUAUGAGGAACACUUGAAUGUGAGCUUGUGCAUUCUUGGAAUAUAUGUGGUAUUAGUAUAUGAGAUUGUUGAAUACAAAUAUAUUGAUUGAUGAUCAUUGGUGUAUCAGGAGGUGUGACUGAGAUUGGACCUUCGAUCGGACAAGGACACCCUACGGGAGGAGUAGAUAGGUGGUCUUAACCUUUUUCCGUAAUUAUAUUAGAUCCUUGUAAUGAAUGUUAUAUAAAAUUGUUGCUAUUCGGUUAUGAUUACUGGAAAUUGCUCAUGAAAUAGUUGAUUGAAUAAUGUGAUUAGCUUCGGCUAAUGGUAUCCGUAAUGGAUGACCAGGAUUGAAUAUUGUGAUUAGUUGUGGCUAAUGGUAUUCGUAAUAGAUGAUCGGGAUUGAAUAAUGUGAUUAGUUAUAACUAAUGGUAUCCAUAAUGGAUGACUGAGAUUGAAUAAUAUAACUAGCUUCGACUAAUGAUAUUCAUAAGGGAUGACCGAAGUUCAAUAGAGUAAUUUGCCUCGACUAAUGGUGUAUUUAUUAGAUGAUCAAGAUCAAAUGAUGGAAUUACAUUUGGGUAAUGACACUUGGGCUUAUGGACUAAGGGAGACCAUGGAGCUAACUUCGAUCUCUAAAACUCAAAUUGAGUGAAAUGGAUGUACAAAUAAGAUUAACAUAGUUCGACAAAAUCAUAGUGAUUGUAUUAUAUGAAGUUAAUGAAAAGAAUUUACUUACCUAGGUUAAUAGUGAAAUUUGCAAUUAUAUUUUUCUAUUCAUUAUUUUUAUAAUAUUAAAGAUCGUUUUUAUUUCUUAUAAUGCAUUUGAACUGUAACUGAGACAUCACACAGCCAAGGCACGUAGGAACUCCAUUCCAUGGUUCCAUAUGCUUUGAUAUAAACUAUGUAAUCACAUGUUUAGGGUGAUAUGCAUUUUGUGUAAAAAGUGUAAUAGUCAUGGAUUUGUCGAUCAACACGUUUGUAAAGACUUGUAAUGAUGAUUUUCUAGAAACAAGGAUGUGAACUAAUAUGUAUAAUGACAUAAUGAAAUGAAUGUGUUGUUUAUGUACUCUAUACUGUAAGAUGUUGGAUUAUGUGAUCAUAUGGGUGUCACACUAUUAUAAUUGGCGGUGCUUAUAUACUUGAUCUAUAAACAUGGUUGUACAAAGCAUCAAUAGGUGAGAUGAAAGAAAAAGAAAAAGAAAAUCACCCAUUUCAUGUCAUUUAACUAAUCAAUGUGUUGGGAAUUAAUGAGAAACCUUAAGCUAUUACAGUUGGUAUCGGAGCAUGAUUAGUACUUAAAAGUGUAUUUUUAUCAAGGUUUUAUAUCAUAAUUUUGCACUUAAAGUAUCAAUAUCUCCUUAACUUGAGCAUGUUUUAUAAUAACAUGUCUAAUAAUAUAAGAUACCUUUAAUUUAUGGUAAAUGUUCAUCUUAAAUGCAGGCCUAUCACAUAAAUCAAAGGAUUGAUUGAUGAGUUUAACUACUGAAAUUGAGAAGACAAAGAGAAGGCUAAGCUUAGAAAAGAGAUGUUGGUUCAAUCCAAACUGGAACACCAUUCGGUUAUUGGACCAUAACUGGAGCUGUAGAACUUGGAUUUAGGUCUGGUUUAUAUGUAUGGAAAGUUAAGACAUAGGCCUAAAACUUUGAUAAGAGUCCAAGAUUCAAAAAGACCAUUUUCAAGUUCAAAUUAUAGCAACAACAGAGAAGUCGGAAUCUGUCCUACAGACCAGAUAUUAUUCAGUGUUCAGCCCAUAUCUCGAGUUCUAGAAGUUCAAAUGCUAAUCACUGUGUUGGGAAUUAAUGAGAAACCUUGAGCUAUUACAGUUGGUAUCAGAACAUGAUUAGUACUUAAAAGUGUAUUUUUAUCAAGGUUUUAUAUCAUAAUUGUGCACUUGAAGUAUCAAUAUCUCCUUAACUAGAGCAUGUUUUAUAAUAACAUGUCUAAUAAUAUAAGAUACCUUUAAUUUAUGGUAAAUGUUCAUCUUAAAUGCAGGUCUAUCAUAUAAAUCAAAGGAUUGAUUGAUGAGUUUAACUACUGAAAUUGAGAAGAUAAAGAGAGGGCUAAGCUUAGAAAAUAGAUGUUGGUUCAGUCCAAACUGGAAUACCAUUCGGUUAUUGGACCAUAACUGGAGCUGUAGAACUUCGAUUUAGAUCUGGUUUAUAUGUAUGAAAAGCUAAGACAUAGACCUAAAACUUUGAUUUAGAUCUGGUUCAGUCCAAACUUUGUUUAUACCUAGUUCCUAAAAAAAUCAAUGUAGAAGGAUGAUAUCGAAAGAAAAUCUAAAAAUGGACAACAAAAUAUAGACUAGAAAGUCAGACACGCCCACUAAACCCUGUGACCUGGCUCAGACAAAUGAGAUUACCUAAUAUAAGAAAAAUUGAGAAAUAUUAUGAGGCUCAAUUCUUAAGCAACUUAUAAGUUAACUGUAUAAACUAUAAAUAAAGAAAUAGAUCAUAACAAAAAAGGAGUUGAAGAGAGCUUUGAGAAGUGAUAUUGAUAUAAGGAUUAAACAAGGAUAAAAUAAUUGUCAAGGUUAGAGGGUCCACUAAUGGUAUUUCAAACAAGUAUAGUAUAAACUCUUUUUAUUACUCAACUAGAAACCAUACACAAAGGAGGUUCCAAUUGGAUUAUAAAUUGUUAACAUGAUUACAUUAGUUAUCUUAUUUGAAUAAUGCUAAUACUUGUAAAUAUUGUCAGGUAUUCAUGAUUAUAACUUAUGUUAACAACAAAUCAAGUUCCUUUCAUAGCAUAGGUGUCGGUUAUACCAUACGGUUGGGCUAUGAAAGUGCCAAGUAUUUUUUGUACCAAGGGUUAUACAAUAUAAAUCUAGAUUAACCAUUUAGCAAGCAAAGUAUUAAAAGUGAACAAGAUAACAAAUACAAAACAUGUUAGUAUCAAACAUUAAAGUCCAUGUUGAGUUUAUACUAUACUUAUUCUUACACCAUUAGUGUAACCUUUUCAUCUUGACAUAAUAAACUUAGCUAAACAUAAUGAAAGAGAGAAACAUAAAUAAACAAGAUAAGAACAUAAAUAAGAUAUAAGUUAACUAAGUAAAGGAAAUGAAAUGAAAAGCAUAAACAAGAAAUUAAUAUAAACAAAACUUAAGCAUUACAAAAAUAUAAAGAGAGAGAGCAAGAACAUGAUCUUGAUCUGAAAACCAAGAUGCCUAAAUGGAUGGCAAAUGCCUCCUUUUAUAGGCUAAAAUUCAGAACUAGUGAUUUGAUGAUUAAUUGUUGAGUGGGUGGCCACCUCUUGACUUGGUAACAAUCUUUAUCUUCUUGUCUACAGAAAACGUCAUUGCUAACAUCAGAAUUUGAGCAGAUAAUCUGCAUGAAAGUUCUGGGAAAUUGUCUCAGCUUUCCAACAAAACAAGAAUCAGUGCAUUUGAACUUCUAGAACUCGAGAUAUAGGCUGAACACUGAAUAGUAUAUGGGCUGCAGGACAGAUUCCGACUUCUCUGUUGUUGCUACAAUUUGAACUUGAAAAUGGUCUUUUUGAAUCUUGGACUCUGUAUCAAAGUUUUAGGCCUAUGUCUUAACUUUCCAUACAUAUAAACCAGACCCAAAUCCAAGUUCUACAGCUCUAGUUAUGAUCCAAUAAUCGAAUGGUGUUCUAGUUUGGACUGAACCAGCAUCUCUUUUCUAAGCUUAGCCCUCUCUUUGUCUUCUCAAUUUCAGUAGUUAGACUCAUCAAUGAAUCCUUUGAUUUAUGUGAUAGGCUUGCAUUUAAGAUGAACAUUUACCAUAAAUUAAAGGUAUCUUAUAUUAUUAGACAUGUUAUUAUAAAACAUGCUCUAGUUAAGGAGAUAUUGAUACUUCAAGUGCAAAAUGAUGAUAUAAAACCUUGAUAAAAAUGCACUUUGAAGUACUAAUCAUUUAGGAAUUUUUAUGUUUAGGGACCUUCACUUUUUUUUCUGCCCGCUGGAGAAAGGAUAGCCGACCAUGAUGUUUUUAUGAUUUUUAGUCUAUGAUAUACAUGAUAUAAAGGUGUGCUCCCCAAUGUUUUCUUUCUGUUUGCAUGAAAUAAGGCAGGUCUCAACUUAGGAAAAAGGGUAAGGUUGUGAGGCAUGGACAUAGGAUUUUGAGUUCAAAAUCUGGGUUUCAGAACUUUGGCUCCCUUGGGCAUAUAGACUUGUUUUUCCAGUUAUAGAAUUUUAAGUUGAAGUAGGCGAGCCGAACCCUGUUUGAGUGGAGUUUGAGUUGAGUUGGCUUUGAAUGUUUUUUUUUUAGUUGCUUUAAGCUUUUUAUAAAUCUUAGAAUAUAUGUGACGGUUGGUUAACUUUUAUUGCGAUGUUUGUGUUUAAUUGUGAUGUUUGUGUUCUGAUAAAAAAUAAAAGUUUUCUUGUAUGUUGCAUACAGCCCAUACCCUAACAUGUUUUAACAUUUUUUUAUAUAAAAAAAACAAAUAUUUGAAGUUUUGAAAAUGUGUUUUCGCAUGGAUUUUUUAAACACAACAAAAAAAAUUAUUUUCUUGCAUUCUGGAUUUUACAAUAUGUUUGUAAAACUCCAAAGGGUAUUGGCCAAUAUUCAAAAAAAUACAAAAAUCUUAUUUUGGGGGGAAUUCAUCUAUUAUUCAUCGUAAAUGUUUGGAUAAAGAAAUCUCAAAGGGAUGAAUAUCCAAAAUAUUAUUGGGAAUAACUUGUUAUUAUUCACUGUUAAUAUUUGGAUAAAGAAACCCUAAGUGGUAAAUAUCCAAAAUAAUUUUUUAGGAAUAAUAAGUCAUCACACAUCCUUGAAAGAAGCCUUAAUUAUAAUUGAGGACAUUUUAAUUUUUGACUCCAUGGUUUACGAGCCAUAAGAGUAUGAAACACUAAGGCAAAAUAGGCUUUUAAAGCGCCCUGAAUUUCCUUAGAUUUCUAAAUUUUUACCCCUCCUCCUUGCAAUUUACGAGUCACAAACUCUUGAAAUACUAAGGGAAAAAUGAGCUUUUAAAGCACAUGGAAUCUCCUUGGAUUUCUAUCUUAAUAAAUUUAGUUUGAAUCAAACACAGAUUUCAAGAGAUCUGUAUUGGUUCUCCUUGGCACUUUGUAGACAUAUCUAAAGGUAUGAUCCAUAUUAGUCAAGAGUUCUUACUUUUAGACUUUGAACCCAAAUCCAUUCAUCAUAGCAAACCUAUCCUAGAAAAACUAAUUAAGAGAACACCAACACCAUAGCAAUUAUAAGGCAAACCAAACACCAAGCAGCUUACCUUAGGUAGGGCGUACUAGGGGUGCUAAUACAUCCCCUUUUACACAACCAGUCCCUUGCCUUAGAAUCUCUGAAAGACCAGUUAGGGUUCCUAGUGACCAUAAUACUAGGUGGCGACUCCCUUAUUCACAAAAAAAAAAAAACAAAAUCAAUCGAGGGUCGCCGCGAUGCCAUGCUUUGCCGUGAGGGUGCGACAUUUGUAAUCAGAGUUUUUUUUUAUAGAUUUUGAUUUUAGCAAUUAUUAUUAUGUGUUGUGAGAGAUUUCUCAUGCUUUGGUUCUUAAAAGAACUUCUCUUGACUUAUCAAAGAAUUAAUCAAUCUUCAUGGUAUUUUUCAUACUUCUCAUUUGUGAUUCUUUGUAAUCAUUAGGUGGAGUCUGAUGAUUAUAGUCUUAGUACCUCGAUACAUGUUAUCGUGUGUCAAACUCAAUUUAAAAGCUUGAAUUUCGCUAUUUUUAAAAAGGCUAAUUUAACUGUGAAUUUAUGAAUUUUUAUAUCCAUGUAGUUCAUAUUUUUUUUGGUAUGCUUGGUAGUGAGAUAAAGUCAUGCUUAAUUAGAUAAAUAUGGAAAUAACCAUAUUUUCUUCUGGGUCUUUCUUUUAUUUUGAUACUUAGCACGUGUUAGUGCUCCUCAGCAUGUAACUCGAACAAGUACACAUGUUUUUUUUAUCUUUUUACAUAAUAUGAGAGGUGUGCCUCAUUCAUUCCUUUUCUGAGUUUCAUUCCUCAUUCAUUCCUUUUCUGAGUGAUCUUUAUGCACAUACCUAUAACUAUACUAAUACGGACAAGGCAUCGCUUACAAUCUUUAAUAUCACUCACUGAUUUUCGAUGUCCACAGCUUAGUAGAAUCUCUACCAAACUUUCAAACGUAGUUUUGUUUUCAACCAUUCAAUAACAUACCAAAUAUUCUACGAUUCAAAAGCUAACCAAACAUUCAAAUACAUAUGAAAAACAAAUCAAUGCCCUUAACAGUCAUCACCCUUCUACGAAAAUACAAUAAAAAUUAUAAGUCUUUUAUACCAGUGGGUAAUACCACUUUUUAUUCUUUUUCGACGUAAAAAAUUAUUUUUGAAUCAACUUAUAUUUUUAUUUUUUUAUUAACGUAGGUGUCCAGACCAGCUUGUUCGCACCUCAACUAAUCUCACGGGUUCUAAAGUUAAUGACCAUGUAAGUCUUCAGUCACUUUGAGGAGAUUCAAACUUGUGAACAUUAAUGAACAGCAAACUCAAGGCCUGACCAGUUGAGCUAUCUCUUAGGAUUUUUAUAUUCAAGCAAUUAUGCAUAAUUAAUAUAAAUAUAGUUUAAGUUAGUUUGUACGUGUGUGUGUUUUACCUAUUCAUCUUUUCUCAUUUACUAAAUUCUGAGAAAUUUUAAUUUAGAAGAGGUUAACUAUCUUACAAAUUAAAAACUCAUAUUAUUACAUGCAUUACAGAAAAAGCAAAAGAAUAGAAAACUAAAAAAAGAAGAAGCAGCGUAACUUAACGUGUCUAUGAGACAAAACUUUUAACAAGAUUGAAUAAUUUUUAUGUUUUUUAUUUGUUUUUAAUUAUGUAACAAGUAGUGUAAAAGAAAAUAGAACUUUAACUCAACAAAAAUAUUCAAUAUUUUUAUUUAUCGUAAAACCUUUUCUUUUUAUGUAACAUAAAUUUUUAGUUAAGCAAGUUCACAUUCUAAUGAAUUUCGUUUAUUUAAUUAUAUAUUAGAGUGCUCCUAGAUCUACUCAAUGUGUCCAUUUUAAGGAGAGAGACAAAUACAAAAAAGAAAAAAAAAAUCAAAUCCAAACUUAUAAGAAAUAAUAAGAAAAAUUUCAUUUAGCCUCCAAAAUAUUUUUUUUCUACAAAAUCCUCAUAAAAACGCAUGUGAAAGUUACUUUUUUUAGAAGACCAAUAAUUUAAAUUUUGGAUAUACCACAAGUUAUUGAGAUAUUCUCAAUUUUGCACACACUAUUUUUGUAUAAUCUUACAAUUAAACUAUUUUGAUUUUUCAAAUAUGUACAUAAAAAAUGAGACUAUUCUCACAAAAAAAAAAUAGAAUUUUGAUGAAAACAUGGACGAAAGGCUUUAAAAAAUGCUAAAAGUCCUUAAAUUGAGAAUUUAUAAAAAGUUUAAUAAUAAAGUUGAUAUAAAAAAUUAUUUAGGUAAGGCUGAAACUAUCUAUGUAGUUGGAAAGUAUUCUUUAGGUUUGCCCUUAAUUUACCACUUACAUAGUUACAUGUUGACACAUCAGUGUGUAUAUAAUUUUAAUUUUAGAAUUUUGUUUGUACAUAAUUUUCCUAUUUUUUUUACGAUCAAUGAUCUAAGAUACUUAUUUUUGUUUACUAAAAUUCUUCAUUAAGUGAUGUGGUAUCAUGUAAUUAAUGUUUUAUCAAUAAAUCACUCUUAUAAUUAAUUAUAAUUAUUCUAUUUAAGAUUUAUAUUUCAUGAUUUGAAAAUAUUUUUUUAUCAUAGAAAAGAAUCAAUUGGCUAAUAACGUCCCUUGUCUUAGAAAGAGAGAUUAAUAUAUGCUAUUUGAUUAAGUAGAACUAGAUACUUGGCUUGCUAAUUUUUUAAAAAUUAUAAAAAAAUAUUAAAUUAUUGUUAACGUGUUUUGUGGAAAAAAAAAUUAAUUAUGAAAUAAAAAUCCAAUUUAUAUUAGACAACACUUUUUAAAUACUGAACAUCUUUUUUCUCUCUUAAAUAUGAGACGAUGAUAUAUUGAACCGAUCAAAACCAACCUUAGUUAACCCGUAAAAUUCAUGACUUAGAUCAUGAGAUAGCGAUAACCGCAUGAAAACCAAACAAUAACCUCAUGAAAAGCAAAUUGAAACAAAUUACAAAAUUCAAUUCUCAAUAAACCUAAUAUUAAAGGCACAAACAUCGACUCACGAUGCGGGCUCGUCGAGUGCGAUGCCGCAACGUCAAGGACGCGUCCCUUCACAGCGGGAUCCAUUUACCAGCAAGUAUGAGGCCUAGUGGAGGGAUGACCUUUAAAUGUAAGUUUGUUUUGCUUUCACAACGACAUAUUUAAUAAUUUUUUUAAAAUAAUUUCAUUUAACAAAUGCACUUUCAGGUUUACAAACAUUGAGGUUACGAGAACAAUAACGUCGACCUUUAAAUCAUGGAUGAAAAUUUCAUUAUUUCAAUGAAGCGAGGUUUCCAAACAUCCUGAAUGAAAACCAUAGGUCGAUGCAUGGUUUUCAAGGUUUAAGGUUAGUAUUAACUUAAAUAUUUUUUAAUUAUAUUAAUUCAGUUAGUUUAUUGAAAUUACUAAAAUUUUUCUUUUAUAAAUUUCAGCUGCAAGGAAAAAUUUGAAUGGGAGAGAGCUAAUAAUAAUAUUGCAAGGACGGUUUGGAAAAAUCACACUGCAACUAGGUAAGAUCGAAAACAUGAUAAUUUUUUUUCCAAAUAUUAAAAUUUUAUUUUUUAUUUACUAACAGAUAAUUCAUUUGUAUCAUAUAGGUUGCGUGAUUUUUUGUACGAGACGCAUAAGAAAGCCCAAAAAUAUACGAAAUAAAGAGAGCUUCCAUACUAGAAUGACGUAGUGUUUAGAAGGAUUUCAGACUGCCAUACAUCUUGGAGGUUGUAUGGGUGGAAUACAUUUUGCACGUGAUGUUCGCGUGUUUCACGCGACGGUCACAAUUCGAUGCAGAGAAUCAGAACCAGCAUGUUCGCGAUUCCAUUAUCACGCAUACCAGCGACUCCAUUCUAUUCGUUUCCCAUUCGAAGUAGAUGGUAAGACUUUUUUUAUUACAUCCAUUUUUUUUGUGUUUUAUAAAUAUAUUUAACUAAUAACAUUUUUAUCUUGCAGGCAACGGUUCUUAGACGCAAGUCAAGCCCGAUAGAGCUUUUUGUUGAAAUACACGUGUGGAGUGAUGAUCAUCAAAAUAGGUUCAACAGUUAAUGGAUAGCCGAGCUUAACACUUUAUGGUAUGUUGGUUUUCAACAAACUUUUUCCCUCAAACACACACAUAUUCUAAAAGUUCAGGGAUUGUUUAAAUUUGUUAUUAUAGCCUAAAACUAAAGUCGAAAAGAACUACAAUGACCCUGGAUUAAAAACAAAAUAGACUAAAAGAUGAAAAAAAAAUCAUAAAUUUAUAACUUAAACUUUAUCAUUUGAUUUUCCUCUUUACAAAAUGUAAGAUAUUUUGUUUCAUAUUUAGUAGUUCUAGGUUCUAUAAAGGCAUGUUAAGAAGGUGUUCAAUUUCCGAACUUGUCCUCUUCUCUCUUUAUAUCCAUCUCUCCUUUGUUCAAGUGUCAUGGCAUCAACCAAGCCAGUAAACUUUCUCGAGGUUUGCCAUGUUAGUCCGUCUUCUACCUCACCCGAGUCAAGCACCGAGCUAUAUCUGCCUCUAAUCUUCUCUGAUAUCUUCAACCUCAAAUUCCCUCCGGUUCAAGGCAUCUUUUUCUAUAAACUCACUGAGUUAACCCCUACUUUCUUUAACUUGGUAAUUCUUCCCAAGGUCAAGC